UACGGAGGGGGCUAGCGUUUGUUCGGAAUUACUGGGCGCAAAGCGCACGUAGGCGGCUUUGUAAGUUAGAGGUGAAAGCCCGGGGCUCAACUCCGGAAUUGCCUUUAAGACUGCAUCGCUAGAAUUGUGGAGAGGUAAGUGGAAUUCCGAGUGUAGAGGUGAAAUUCGUAGAUAUUCGGAAGAACACCAGUGGCGAAGGCGACUUACUGGACACAUAUUGACGCUGAGGUGCGAAAGCGUGGGGAGCAAACAGG
Molecule: ribosomal RNA, 254 nt
Filed under: uncultured bacterium
Lineage: Bacteria
Description: partial 16S ribosomal RNA
Rfam family: Bacterial small subunit ribosomal RNA
Source: RNAcentral